This 472-nucleotide ribosomal RNA is filed under the name Staphylococcus aureus. Its description in RNAcentral is "partial 23S ribosomal RNA". It matches the Rfam family "Bacterial large subunit ribosomal RNA", at positions 653 to 1123 of the family's 2925-position model. The record is from RNAcentral. Lineage: Bacteria; Bacillati; Bacillota; Bacilli; Caryophanales; Staphylococcaceae.
AGUAAAUGUGGAGCCGUAGCGAAAGCGAGUCUGAAUAGGGCGUUUAGUAUUUGGUCGUAGACCCGAAACCAGGUGAUCUACCCUUGGUCAGGUUGAAGUUCAGGUAACACUGAAUGGAGGACCGAACCGACUUACGUUGAAAAGUGAGCGGAUGAACUGAGGGUAGCGGAGAAAUUCCAAUCGAACCUGGAGAUAGCUGGUUCUCUCCGAAAUAGCUUUAGGGCUAGCCUCAAGUGAUGAUUAUUGGAGGUAGAGCACUGUUUGGACGAGGGGCCCCUCUCGGGUUACCGAAUUCAGACAAACUCCGAAUGCCAAUUAAUUUAACUUGGGAGUCAGAACAUGGGUGAUAAGGUCCGUGUUCGAAAGGGAAACAGCCCAGACCACCAGCUAAGGUCCCAAAAUAUAUGUUAAGUGGAAAAGGAUGUGGCGUUGCCCAGACAACUAGGAUGUUGGCUUAGAAGCAGCCAUCAUU